AACAGGAAUGCUGCUGGAAGAGCAAGAAUGAAAAUCAUCACAUAAAUUUGGGCCAUCCUGGUGAUGUCAGGAUCCACUUAAGAGCAGGAAGAUGCUGUCAGUAUUGAGAAAGAUGGCCCAGCAAGGAAAACAGCACAGCAUCAAGAUAAGGAUUCCUCUUUGAAGAAAGCUUCCUGCUGACUCAAAAGGAUUUUUCUUCUUCUGAACUCCUAUUAUGGGAAUGGAUGAAAUCACUUACAGAGCCACAGAAGGAAACAAAGCAAAGCCAGGAUCAUGAGUUGGAUUAUCUGGAGGCCUAGGCCAAUGGGGAGUUAUUGCUUGCAGUCACUGAUCAAGCAAAUAAACUUUUCCUUCUUUCUUAUGAAAUUUAUUUAAGAAGCUGAAAUUACUUAAAUGAUAAUGAGUUGUGAGAAAAGAAUUGUAGUAGAUAUUUGUUCUCUAUCCAAAUUGCACUGAGUGGGGAGGUGUACCCAUACCCCAGCUUCGAGAAUUGACUGAUAACAGUUCACACCUGCACUUCUCCAGAGAAUUGUCCUUGUCUGACCUGAGCACCUUGUUUAGUAAUGUCUGGUAGGCUAUGCUCCACCUUCCCUGGGCAGAUCCACUGGUCUAAGACAAACAACCCAACCCUCUAAUUUCUGGGAAGAAUCACCUCCGUGAUUAAUCUAAGCUCCAGAUCUCCCAGAGAAAUCAUGCUGAGGCUACAUUUGUGAAACUACAUUUUUAUCUAGCUUCUUCCUUUGCCCUUUCCUGCUGUCCUCACUUCCUUAUGAAUUUUUUUCUGAAAGAUCUUGAUUAAUAAAUUAUUUAAUCAAGAUCCCCCAGUCAUAAGUUCUGUGUUUUGGAAUAUAACCUAUACAAAAAUAAAUUAAUUGGUACUAGAUAAUGCUCCGCUAUGCAUCUAUUUCAAUGUCUAUUCUUUGGAAGUUCUGUCAUCACACAUCCCCAAGUUUUAGAUAAGGUUUUUAGCUAACAGCCAGGAAAAGAUUCAAUAAACUUAAAAGAAAAAGUGUUUUUAAAUGUAA
Molecule: long non-coding RNA, 1025 nt
Filed under: Homo sapiens (human)
Lineage: Eukaryota; Metazoa; Chordata; Mammalia; Primates; Hominidae
Description: HSALNT0320053
Source: RNAcentral